This 783-nucleotide long non-coding RNA is filed under the name Salvia miltiorrhiza (redroot sage). RNAcentral's name for it is "long non-coding RNA (SMIL_LNC013740)". Lineage: Eukaryota; Viridiplantae; Streptophyta; Magnoliopsida; Lamiales; Lamiaceae. The record is from RNAcentral.
AUGAACUCAUGAAGAGCAGAUACAAGAUAUGUUCGAAUUUUCCAACUAAAUGGACCAACUGACAUCAGAUGAAGCAGCACAUCCUUAAGACUGUAAAAUCCUAAAGCAUAAAAAUACCUUAGGACCAGGACAGAGAAAAAUAUUUGCUAACAAGAGGAAAAGGUAAAGAAAAACAAAGAAAGCAAUUCCUCAAUAUAUAAAUGAUUUGAUGCAGAGAAACAAUAUAGCUCACAAUCAUAACCCCACAUAGUUAGGGUUCAUCCAAACCAACAAUCACAACCUCAGAUUCCAAAUAAACAAAAAUCAAAGAGUGAUAGAACCAAAAAUUAUCUUAGCUGGAUCGAGAGAAACUAGGGCUCGAUCUGUGAGCAGAGGAAGGACUUUAGCGGUGUUGCGAUCUCCGACCAAGGGAGACGCGGCGGCGUCAAGCCAGGGCGGCGACCGGCGAUUUCAGACAGAGAAGCUAGGGCUCGACUUCUUCCCUUCAAUUGUGCGCUUCCAGUGAGGGAUUAGAGAGGGAAACCGAGACGAAGAGAAAAAGAGGGAAAGAACGGCGAAAAUCAGUCGCCAGAUUUUACAGAAGCGGCGCCGGAGUUUCAGAGAAUGAUACAUCAGCGGCGGCGGCUCGGACCGCUGCUGUUCGCAGAAGAGAAAGGGAUAAAGGGCCUCAGCGGCGAGGAUGGUGGCGAGGACGGCGGCGCGAACAGCUACGCGGCGGCGAGGACGGUGGAGAAUGGCGGCGAGGAUGGGGGCUGGCGGCGACAGUAGCCGCCUGGUUUGAAG